This 248-nucleotide ribosomal RNA is filed under the name Vreelandella aquamarina. RNAcentral's name for it is "Halomonas aquamarina partial 16S ribosomal RNA". It matches the Rfam family "Bacterial small subunit ribosomal RNA", at positions 93 to 350 of the family's 1533-position model. Lineage: Bacteria; Pseudomonadati; Pseudomonadota; Gammaproteobacteria; Oceanospirillales; Halomonadaceae. The record is from RNAcentral.
GAGCGGCGGACGGGUGAGUAAUGCAUAGGAAUCUGCCCGGUAGUGGGGGAUAACCUGGGGAAACCCAGGCUAAUACCGCAUACGUCCUACGGGAGAAAGGGGGCUUCGGCUCCCGCUAUCGGAUGAGCCUAUGUCGGAUUAGCUAGUUGGUGAGGUAACGGCUCACCAAGGCUACGAUCCGUAGCUGGUCUGAGAGGAUGAUCAGCCACAUCGGGACUGAGACACGGCCCGAACUCCUACGGGAGGCA